CCAAGAUCCUCGAGAGAGUUGUCUACGCCAGAUUGACAGACUUUCUUGAAUCCAACUCUCUGCUUGACCCCCUUCAGUCUGGAUUCCGCGCUGGUCACUCUGUCGAAACUGCUGUGACCAAAGUAUCCAACGAUUUAAUUGCUGCUAAAUCUCGCGGCCAAUACUCUAUCCUAAUCCUCCUUGAUCUUUCUGCCGCCUUUGACACUGUUG
Pelobates cultripes (western spadefoot toad) is the source of this 210-nucleotide non-coding RNA. Lineage: Eukaryota; Metazoa; Chordata; Amphibia; Anura; Pelobatidae. The record is from the annotation of a GenBank genome assembly.